This 2862-nucleotide long non-coding RNA is filed under the name Eucalyptus grandis. RNAcentral's name for it is "long non-coding RNA (EGRA_LNC005678)". Lineage: Eukaryota; Viridiplantae; Streptophyta; Magnoliopsida; Myrtales; Myrtaceae. The record is from RNAcentral.
CCGGCCCCGAUUUCGGACCUGGGUACGGCGGGCGGCCGGAGGAGGAGCCAGGCUCUGGGUACGGCCGGAAGCCUGAUUACGAGAGGCCUGGAUCCGAGUAUGGUCGCCGUCCGGAGGCUGAGUACGGUUCCGGGUACGAGAAGCCUAGCACGGAGUAUGGAUCCGGGCACGGCCGUCCCGGAUCUGAGUAUGGAUCCGGGCAUGGCGGCCGGACCGAGUAUGAAAAGCCGAGCUCGGAGUACGGAUCCGGAUAUGGCGGCCGCACCGAGUAUGAGAAGCCGAGCUCGGAGUACGGAUCCGGAUAUGGCGGCCGGACCGAGUACGAAAAGCCCAGCUCGGAGUAUGGAUCCGGAUACGGCGGUCGGACUGAGUACGAGAAGCCGACCGUGGAGCCGACCGUGGGAUAUGGAUCGGGGUAUGGUGGCCGGACCGAAUACGAGAAGCCGAGCACGGAAUAUGGAUCCGGGUAUGGUGGCCGGACCGAGUACGAGAAGCCUAGCACUGAGUAUGGAUCCGGAUAUGGUGGAAAGACCGAGUAUGAAUCUGGUGGGUCCGAAUUCGGAUCCGGGUAUGGUCGCAAGCCCGGGUAUGGUGAGCAGGAAGGCGGUGAAUUUGGGUAUGGCGGCAGGCCACAGAGGACUGAGAUCGAGAGGCCGAGCUAUGGCGGCGGCGAGGACGAGCCUCCAAGGAGGCCGAGCUAUGGCGGCGGCGAGGACGAGCCUCCGAGGAGGCCGAGCUAUGGGACCCAGGACGAGCCUCCGAGGAGGCCGAGCUAUGGGACCCAGGAAGGGGAAGGGUUCGAGAGGCCGAGCUACGGGCAGCCCAAGGAGGAAGAGCGUGGUUAUGGAAAGUCAAGGUAUGGGAGGAAGGACGAUGAUGAGGAUGAGGACAAGCCUAAGAGGUAUGGGAGGAAGGACGAUGAUGAGGAUGAGGACAAGCCUAAGAGGUAUGGGUAUGGCGAAGAGGAGGAGGGCUAUGGCCGCAAGAAAUAUGUAAGUUCCAUCGAUUCUGUUUUCCUUGGUGCAAAGGAUGACACUCUUUGUGAUGUUAGGAUCGUUGGUUGCAUAGUCCUGCCAGUUUUCUAUGUAAUUUGGUACUUCUUUGUUUUCGUUUCGAUGCGAUGGAUUAAUUAUACUGUUGUCCUGUCUGCUAUGGAUAAUGUGGUUACAUACAUAUGCUGCUACCCUUCUCUGAAAUCUGGUCCUCACUGCUAUUGUCCGAUCUUUUUAGUAUGAGUAGUUUCUUGGCAUGUAUAUUGGUUGAACCUAAGUUACAAGGGAUUGAAUUAGUCAUUUAACGGCAUUGGCAUCUAAUUUGAAUGUCCAAUCUAAGUUGUAGUCCGGGCCUGCUGAGGUUACCUGAAGUGAUGCUGAGAUGCUCUUGCACUGAUUACUCUGGACAGCUAGAUAUCUAUCGUUUGAGCAAUGGAUUUUCCUCCGAAGUUGCAUGAGAGAGUGGCACCUUUUAGUGAGAUCAGCAUUACUGGGAAAUUCCCUUUUAUCUAUAAUGAAGAGUGAAGACACUUUUGUUUGCUAAUCAUUCCACAUAAGUAGGAAUACAAGCUCUUGUUCUUGUUGAACACUUCGGCAAGAGAAUUUUACGGUCAGGCAAGUGAAUCAUGUUCCAUAGAGGAGAGGCCCUAAUAUAGGCUUGUGGAUUGUCUUUGAUGUUAUCCAGCCAGUUGGGGGAGGGAGGAAAAGUGAGGUAUUAGCCACUGAACUCCUUAGGUUACACUCCUGGAUAUAUUUAUAUAUAUGCAUCAUAAGCUUCCGCAGAUUGAUAAGGCCAGGCUACUGAGUCAUGUUAUUUAGGUUGGAGGCCAUAAGUUAGUUUUGCCGACUUUCUUUGACUUUGUAAUCACGGUGUGGAAGGAAGAAAAAGAGGAGCAUUCACUGAACAACUCCUUAGAGUAUAUGCGAGUCUCAUACUUCAGUAGUCUAGUUAAAAUGUACAUACAGGUGAAAAUAAAUAAAAGUAUAGAACAAGUAGUCAACCCUCAAUCUUUCCCAAACACAACUUGUCCCCCCAUCGCCUUUACUGGAAAAAUUAAAACCCUUGGAACUUCUGUUUUCAGUCAAUUGGAUCCCCAAGUUCUUGGAGUAAUCCAGCUCUACCGGAACUUGAUUAAGCUUAUUUGCUCGAAGAGAGUACUAGGUCAGAGUCUGCUGUAAACUGAAUUUGGGAUUUAAUUAUCACACAUAAUCAAGGGGAAGGCAUGCAUUGAUUCACAUGGCUGGAACUGUGACUUUGUUUUGGUUCCUGCACUGCUUGACCACUUGUGACCAUUUACAUGUUAGAACUUGAUUGUAUGCCUUUAACAAUAGAUUAACUUCAUUUUGCCUGUUUUCUCCUAUCCAUCUCACAGAAAUGUUUCUUCCUCCCUCUAUUCAUUCUUUCUGCACUGUUUGACCUGUCUCAUACUUAGAUUAAUGUUAUAGUCGUGACUGUGCCACAUAGCAUAGAUUAAGUUCUUGUUCAGACUGAAAUAUAGUUUGGGAUGUGUCAAAAGAAUUUUUUAAUGGCGUUUUCACUGUUAAAACACCAUCUUCAACCCAAGUCGGUAGAACUCGGAUAUUUGCCUCGCUCAUACUCUAUAGGAGUGUGAGCUGUUUAUGUUUAGCUUUCACCCCCUCUUGCGCCCCAUGUUGAUAUGCUGAGCUAUUCUUACAUUGCAGGGAGAUGACGACUCUGGUGAUGAUGAGGAUGAGGAAAAGAAGCAUUACCGCUCCAAGCAUCACCACCACCACAAGCACCAUGACGAUGACGAGUGAUCUAAUCCUUGGUCGCCUCUUGAUGGGAACCCAUGCUAUAUUAAGCUACUAAAUAAAGGGUUUCCAGGAUGCUGUGCGUGUCGUUUGUUGC